AGCAGCCGCGGUAAUUCCAGCUCCAAUAGCGUAUAUUAAAGUUGCUGCAGUUAAAAAGCUCGUAGUUGAAUUUCGGGAUCAAUAUGUUGGUCGUGCCUCGGUACGUACUAGCUUAUUGGUUUCUCCCUUCUGACGAACCAUGAUGUCAUUUAUUUGGUGUUAUGGGAAAUCAGGACUGUUACUUUGAAAAAAUUAGAGUGUUUAAAGCAGGCUCACGCUUGAAUACAUUAGCAUGGAAUAAUGAAAUAGGACGUUUGAUUCUAUUUUGUUGGUUUCUAGGAUCGACGUAAUGAUUAAUAGGGAUAGUUGGGGGCAUUAGUAUUCAAUUGUCAGAGGUGAAAUUCUUGGAUUUAUUGAAGACUAACUACUGCGAAAGCAUUUGCCAAGGAUGUUUUCAUUAACCAAGAACGAAAGUUAGGGGAUCGAAGACGAUCAGAUACCGUCGUAGUCUUAACCAUAAACUAUGCCGACUAGGGAUCGGAUGAUGUUAAUUUUUUCAAUGACUCAUUCGGCGCCUUAC
Molecule: unclassified non-coding RNA, 520 nt
Filed under: uncultured Glomus
Lineage: Eukaryota; Fungi; Glomeromycota; Glomeromycetes; Glomerales; Glomeraceae
Description: SSU rRNA
Rfam family: Eukaryotic small subunit ribosomal RNA
Source: RNAcentral